RNAcentral lists this ribosomal RNA (422 nucleotides) under uncultured bacterium. Its description in RNAcentral is "bacterial SSU rRNA". It matches the Rfam family "Bacterial small subunit ribosomal RNA", at positions 355 to 774 of the family's 1533-position model. The record is from RNAcentral.
UGAGGAAUAUUGGUCAAUGGGGGCAACCCUGAACCAGCCAAGUCGCGUGAAGGAUGAAGGUCUUAUGGAUUGUAAACUUCUUUUAUACAGGAAUAAAUUGGGGGACGUGUCCCCUUUUGCAUGUACUGUAUGAAUAAGGAUCGGCUAACUCCGUGCCAGCAGCCGCGGUAAUACGGAGGGUGCGAGCGUUAUCCGGAUUUACUGGGUUUAAAGGGUGCGUAGGUGGGCUUAUAAGUCAGUGGUGAAAUCUCCGAGCUUAACUUGGAAACUGCCGUUGAUACUAUAGGUCUUGAAUUAUCUGGAGGUAAGCGGAAUAUGUCAUGUAGCGGUGAAAUGCUUAGAUAUGACAUAGAACACCAAUUGCGAAGGCAGCUUACUACAUAUAAAUUGACGCUGAGGCACGAAAGCGUGGGGAUCAAACA